RNAcentral lists this ribosomal RNA (337 nucleotides) under uncultured Streptococcus sp. Its description in RNAcentral is "bacterial SSU rRNA". It matches the Rfam family "Bacterial small subunit ribosomal RNA", at positions 1044 to 1382 of the family's 1533-position model. The record is from RNAcentral. Lineage: Bacteria; Bacillati; Bacillota; Bacilli; Lactobacillales; Streptococcaceae.
CAUGGUUGUCGUCAGCUCGUGUCGUGAGAUGCUGGGUUAAGUCCCGCAACGAGCGCAACCUCUAUUGUUAGUUGCCAUCAUUCAGUUGGGCACUCUAGCGAGACUGCCGGUAAUAAACCGGAGGAAGGUGGGGAUGACGUCAAAUCAUCAUGCCCCUUAUGACCUGGGCUACACACGUGCUACAAUGGUUGGUACAACGAGUUGCGAGUCGGUGACGGCGAGCUAAUCUCUUAAAGCCAAUCUCAGUUCGGAUUGUAGGCUGCAACUCGCCUACAUGAAGUCGGAAUCGCUAGUAAUCGCGGAUCAGCACGCCGCGGUGAAUACGUUCCCGGGCCUU